Molecule: ribosomal RNA, 395 nt
Filed under: uncultured bacterium
Lineage: Bacteria
Description: partial 16S ribosomal RNA
Rfam family: Bacterial small subunit ribosomal RNA
Source: RNAcentral
AUACGUAGGGUGCAAGCGUUAAUCGGAAUUACUGGGCGUAAAGCGUGCGCAGGCGGUUUUGUAAGACAGAGGUGAAAUCCCCGGGCUCAACCUGGGAACUGCCUUUGUGACUUCAAGGCUAGAGUACGGCAGAGGGGGAUGGAAUUCCGCGUGUAGCAGUGAAAUGCGUAGAUAUGCGGAGGAACACCGAUGGCGAAGGCAAUCCCCUGGGCCUGUACUGACGCUCAUGCACAAAAGCGUGGGGAGCAAACAGGAUUAGAUACCCUGGUAGUCCACGCCCUAAACGAUGUCAACUGGUUGUUGGGUCUUCAUUGACUCAGUAACGAAGCUAACGCGUGAAGUUGACCGCCUGGGAAGUACGGCCGCAAGGUUGAAACUUAAAGGAAUUGACGGGG